CAUUCGUGAACGAUAUCUUGAACACAAGUAACCAGCGGUAGAAAAUGUUCUUUCGCAUUCCACACUUGUCGCAGGUAAUAGACUAAAAUAAAGGACACUGCACAUAGUAAGGCGGGUCGGGGCCUCGGGGGUAGGGGUGGCGAGAAGGGAAAGGGCGAUAAAGGGAUUAGCGACCACUCAUUUGUCACAAAGCAUUGCUUCCUAGCUCCUACUCUGACGAGCAGAUGAGACCAUAAGAUGCAGAAAAGUAAGUAUUUUAAGUGUCUCUACGUAAUCUUAAACCGUAGUAAUUGUUUUUUUUGUAAGUACGAAGAUAUAGAUGUGCUAAUUCAACAGGUUGUUACA
Molecule: long non-coding RNA, 345 nt
Organism: Cydia splendana
Lineage: Eukaryota; Metazoa; Arthropoda; Insecta; Lepidoptera; Tortricidae
Exons: 2
Source: RefSeq, a predicted model, not a curated record